GUCCCAGUUCGGAUCGCAGGCUGCAACCCGCCUGCGUGAAGUUGGAAUCGCUAGUAAUCGCGGAUCAGCAUGCCGCGGUGAAUACGUUCCCGGGCCUUGUACACACCGCCCGUCACACCAUGAGAGUCGGAACACCCGAAGUCCGUAGCCUGACCGCAAGGGGGGCGCGGCCGAAGGUGGGUUCGAUAAUUGGGGUGAAGUCGUAACAAGGUAAC
This 215-nucleotide ribosomal RNA is filed under the name uncultured bacterium. RNAcentral's name for it is "partial 16S ribosomal RNA". It matches the Rfam family "Bacterial small subunit ribosomal RNA", at positions 1285 to 1500 of the family's 1533-position model. The record is from RNAcentral.